GGAUAGAAUUUUGGGGGAGCUAGUGGAUCAUAUGAAAUGCUUACUUGGUUUUGUAAGUGUAGAUUCAAAUGUACAGUUGUUGCAUUUUCUUACUGGUGACGAAUUUUUUGGCGGAUUGAUCAAGUCAGAAAUGAAACAUUUUGGAGGGUCUGACAUUGAAGCACUUAGUCAGCACUUUGAGAAGAGAAUCUUGAAACUCGAGGAAGAGAAGAAAACAGUCCAGAAGAGAGGGACCGUUUGCUAGCUGAAAUUGAAAACCUUGCUACUGCUUCUGAUGGACAAAGGCAGAAAAUGCACAAAGCUUAUGCACAGAUAUUAAA
Molecule: non-coding RNA, 320 nt
Organism: Camellia sinensis
Lineage: Eukaryota; Viridiplantae; Streptophyta; Magnoliopsida; Ericales; Theaceae
Source: RefSeq, a predicted model, not a curated record